GACGAACGCUGGCGGCGUGCUUAACACAUGCAAGUCGAACGGAAAGGCCCUGCUUGCGUGGGGUUCUCGAGUGGCGAACGGGUGAGUAACACGUGAGUAACCUGCCCUUGACUUUGGUAUAACUUCAGGAAACUGGGGCUAAUACCGGAUAGGCGCUCCUGCUGCAUGGUGGGGGUUGGAAAGUUUCGGGGGUUGGGGUUGGACUCCCGACUUAUCAGCUUGUUGGGGGGGUAGUGGCUUACCAAGGGUUUGACGGGUAGCCGGCCUGAGGGGGUGACCGGCACAAUUGGGACGGGGAUACGGCCCGACCCCCUCCGGGGGGAGGAAGUGGGGAUUUUGGAACAUGGGGCGGAGCCCGAUUGAAGGACCCCGGCGGGGGGGAUGACGGCCUUGAGUUUGUAACCCGCUUCGGCCUGUGACGAGGUGUGAGUGACGGUAAUGGGUAAAGAAGCACCGGCUAACUACGUG
RNAcentral lists this ribosomal RNA (468 nucleotides) under uncultured bacterium. RNAcentral describes it as "partial 16S ribosomal RNA". It matches the Rfam family "Bacterial small subunit ribosomal RNA", at positions 28 to 507 of the family's 1533-position model. The record is from RNAcentral.